RNAcentral lists this long non-coding RNA (618 nucleotides) under Aquilegia coerulea. RNAcentral's name for it is "long non-coding RNA (ACOE_LNC002327)". The record is from RNAcentral. Lineage: Eukaryota; Viridiplantae; Streptophyta; Magnoliopsida; Ranunculales; Ranunculaceae.
AAGACUCUUAACAAUCUUACCGAUUCAGUUGAGAGGACUGUAGGAUUUCUCAAAUGCUUACAGUGAACCAUCAAAUACUCGAUAAACUUUGGAACAUCCUGCAGACGGAAGGAAAAUAAACCUGCUCUGAUGAAGGAAAAUAAUUUCGGUAAUUACUCCAUCUUACAAACAGGAUCUCCUCCUCCCCGCCAAAAUAUCUAAAUACUUAAACACCUACACAGACCACUUCUUCCUAUGCCGUUAUCUAACUUCAAACUUAAUGGUAUAUGUUUCAUCUUCAAAAUAAAAAUUCUUUUGCUACCGCCUAAGUGCCUAAUAUGAGUAUAAAUUUGACAAACUACAAAAGAGAAAAAAAAUCAAUUGAAACACGAAAAUCCAAUCCAAACAUGAUGGUAAUCAGAAAUUUUAAUUACAAAAAUUAACAAAAAUAAGAAUUUACGAUCGUAAUUAUAUUAAGCUCUAUACCAAUCGUAGAAGAAUUGACAAAUAUAUAAGAAUGAACACACUAAAGCAGAGAAAUACCUACUGUCGACCAAUUGGGAAAUUCAAGAAAAUUUGGUUUUCUCCACUGCUCGUUCAAUAUCCCUAUAUGAACAAAGAGAUUAAAGCAUUAAACCA